RNAcentral lists this ribosomal RNA (600 nucleotides) under Penicillium simplicissimum. RNAcentral's name for it is "eukaryotic LSU rRNA". The stretch from base 226 to 379 matches the Rfam family "5.8S ribosomal RNA". Lineage: Eukaryota; Fungi; Ascomycota; Eurotiomycetes; Eurotiales; Aspergillaceae. The record is from RNAcentral.
AAAAGUUCGUAACAAGGUUUCCGUAGGUGAACCUGCGGAAGGAUCAUUACCCCUUGAGGGCCCUCUGGGUCCAACCUCCCACCCGUGUUUAUCGUACCUUGUUGCUUCGGCGGGCCCGCCUCACGGCCGCCGGGGGGCAUCCGCCCCCGGGCCCGCGCCCGCCGAAGACACCAAUGAACUCUUGUCUGAAGAUUGCAGUCUGAGCAGAUUAGCUAAAUCAGUUAAAACUUUCAACAACGGAUCUCUUGGUUCCGGCAUCGAUGAAGAACGCAGCGAAAUGCGAUAAGUAAUGUGAAUUGCAGAAUUCAGUGAAUCAUCGAGUCUUUGAACGCACAUUGCGCCCCCUGGUAUUCCGGGGGGCAUGCCUGUCCGAGCGUCAUUGCUGCCCUCAAGCACGGCUUGUGUGUUGGGCUUCGCCCCCCGGCUCCCGGGGGGCGGGCCCGAAAGGGAGCGGCGGCACCGCGUCCGGUCCUCGAGCGUAUGGGGCUUUGUCACCCGCUCUGUAGGCCCGGCCGGCGCCCGCCGGCGACCCCAAAUCAAUCUAUCCAGGUUGACCUCGGAUCAGGUAGGGAUACCCGCUGAACUUAAGCAUAUCAAUAA